AUGUGCAUUUUAUAAAAUAAUAGUGAAUGUUGUAGUGUGUUAUUUUGAAUUAUUAUUGUGAUUUUCUUAAGCAGGAUGCGCUUUUUUCAACUGAGUAUUGUUUUUCUCGUUUUGGUAAGUUUGGUCUAUUUCAUAAACAAAUGUGCAGCUUAAAAUGUUACCUUAUAUUGACUCUUGUGAGUUUUCAACAGAUGUUAUAAGCUGUGGUCACACCUUACAGGAUAGCACGAACGGACACCUAACGGAUGAAAAUAAAAGUGCUCCGUUGACAAAAUUGUUAUCAGUUGGGAGUCCGUUGAUGUACUGACAAAACUAAACGGAUGUGUAACGAAUGCAUAACGAACACACACCGGAUAUGUAACGUACGAGAAACGGAAACGUUCCGGACAGAACGGAUGUCGAAUGUACAUUUAACAGACGAGUACCGCAUAAAAUGGACACCUAACGGAUAAAACGAACGAACAAGAUAUAUGGAAAAAUAAAGGCAACAAUAAUAAUACAUGUAAAUGGCAUAAAUAUUCAAAAAGUUUCUGUGUAACUGGUUUUGGUUUGUUCUUCAAAAUGCCACCAAAGGGUAGUUGGUGUCCUGAAUAAGAGCUGCGUUGUAGUGAAGAAGUGCCCUUACUUUGAGAUGGAUUAUGAAUAAUAAGAAUGCAUGGCACUCAAGAAAUAUGACAUACUAAUAAUUGGCAUUUCUGACGCGAAAUUAAUUGUCAAUUUGCAUUUAUCCAUUUGAGAUCCGUCAAAUAUCCGUUUUAUCCGUUAUACGUCUGGUAGAAGUCCGUUUCACAUUCGUUAAACAUCCGUUUUAUUCGUUAUACAUCUAGUAGAAGUCCUUUGAGGAACUUGUCUACCAGACCUCUAACGGACAAAUAACCGGAUACAGAACAGAAACCAAACGGACGACUACAGUACAAAACGGACGCCUACCGGACGUUCAACGUACACUUCAUCCGUUGGAUGUCCGUUCAAAGUUGUGAACAUGCUCAAACAUAACGGAAAUUAAACGGAUAUGGACGGAAGUCUAACGGAUAAGAACGGACGUCUAACGGACUUGAAUGGAUUGAAAAACAGUUAUCCGUUCCGCAUCCGUUCGUGAUAAACGUUAAGGUGUGACCGAGGCGUUAAGGUAUACAGGCAACAUUAUUCCUAUACCUAAAGAUCUAUCAGUUUGACUGUCCCUCUGGUAUUUUUCGUCCCUCUUUUAAAUGUAUAUUAUAACGGUGAUGUGCUUACAUGCUAUGACUAUGGUGUGUCACUUUCGGAAAAAUUAUGCCAUGUAACUUGCUACCAUUAUUGUUGCAUUAUGACAUGAUUCAAAACCAUUACACAUUUCUAUAGUUUACUGCAUGAAAACUAAAAAAUAAAUCAAAAUUGGGAGUAGAUAUGAUUCCUUUGAGUCGUUUUAGUCACAUGAAGCGAACAUGGAAUUACAAUCUUUUGUGUUUUGACCUUUACGAAUAAAGUGACUGUAAUGCGUUCUUGAAGGAAUUUUCCUUAUGAAAGAAUGAAGUAUUAUGCCUAGCAUAACUGCAAAAUAACGUGUUUCAUUUAAAAAUUUACUGAUAUAGCUUAGUAAAAUACAUCAAAUGUAAAUAUAAAGAUGCAUUAUACAGAAUAGAUCGAUAAUGCUCAAAGGCAAAUAUUUGAUGUACAAGUACGAAAAGAAAACAUCUAAGAAUUACAUGAAAAAGAGACCUCAAAACACCAAUCUCCUGUAACUGUAGCUUUGACUAAGGGAUUGUGAAUCGACAUGUAAAUCAACAGAUUAAUGUAAUUUAAAGAAUAAAAUGUUAAAUAACAAAAGAGCUCCAAGGAAAAUUUUAAACGGAAAGUCCAUUAUCAAAUGGCAAUAUCAUACGACUGAAAACAACUUUCGUAUUUAUGACUUUUCCUUCUGUAGAAAAUUAUUAAGUAUUGUAGUUAGCUACGUAGCUAAACUACUCACAAUGACAGUCGCAAACAAUUCCAUUAUGUUGAAAACAAUGAGUGACCAUUACAAACAGAUAUGCAGGCACACAUGUCGAAAAGGAGUACAGCAGUCAACAUUGUGCUGUAAUCGUAAUGACUUUAAAAACAAACAAAUAAUUAUGUGAACAAAGAAAAAAAGAAACUAUAAAUAAAAUAUCGAAAAUUUAUAUGUCAUGGCUUCUUACUUAAUAACUUUGCAGUCCUGUCUAGCCACUUAAUGUGUAUUCGAUCAUUAAAGGUUGUUGGUGUAUAUUCGAGUGAGAAUAUUUGCGACCUUCCGAAAGUGGUUGGACCAUGUCGUGCGAGGUUGCCAAGAUUUCAUUUUGAUGUAAAAACUGGUCGAUGUAAAAAGUUUUUUUAUGGUGGUUGUGGUGGGAACGAAAACAAUUUCAAAACGAAAAAAGACUGUCUUACUACCUGCAAGAAACGAG
RNAcentral lists this long non-coding RNA (2402 nucleotides) under Mytilus galloprovincialis (Mediterranean mussel). Lineage: Eukaryota; Metazoa; Mollusca; Bivalvia; Mytilida; Mytilidae. The record is from RNAcentral.